Molecule: long non-coding RNA, 1091 nt
Filed under: Amborella trichopoda
Lineage: Eukaryota; Viridiplantae; Streptophyta; Magnoliopsida; Amborellales; Amborellaceae
Description: long non-coding RNA (ATRI_LNC002295)
Source: RNAcentral
GGAUCGGGUCUGCUGGUUCCCGAGUUGAAUCGGAGGAGUCCAGUUCAACUCACUGACUUUUGAAUCACUGGUUUAGAGUAUAGUUAGCAAGUCGUCGAUUCAAACGUGAUUUCUUCAUUUCAAAAAAUCACCUUUUUAAAAAAAAACAUUUUAAUCGGCGUAUUUAUCAAUACAUCAGCCAAAAAAACAAGUUUUUUUCAAGGAAACAUUUAAAACGCGUUUUUUUCAGCUUUAUAAAAAAAGGGUUAAAAAACAACGUUGCUAUAAAUAAUCUGUAUUUUUUUUUUUGAAAGUUAAAUAAUUUAUUAUUUUUUAUGAAAUUUCUAUUUUGUACCUUUUGACAAACAAUUUUUUUUGGGAAGAGAAUCACCGCUUACAAAAAGGAAAAAAAAACCAAAUUUAACAUUAGAGAGAGAAACUACCUGUGUUAGAUCCAUAAAUUUAACCUUGCAGAGAGAAAUUAACUGCAUUAGAUUAGGAGAAAAAAAAAUAAGAUCGUUAAGAAAAAAAAAAACCUCAAAUUUAAUAUUACAGAGACAAACUACAUGUUAGGAUUUUACAGAGAAUUAAAAAACCCCUUUAGAGUGGGGAAAAAUAGGUUAGGACCUUACAGAGAAACUAGCUGCAUAUAAAAUCCCAAAAUUUAACAAACAGUAGAUUGGGGGAAAACAGAUUACAAAAAAGCAUCCGAUAGAGAGAGAAAGAGAGAGAACCUAUCAUUUUUUUAAAUAAGAGAUUUAACUCUAACUUCAAUAAAAAAAUCCCCAAAUUUAACUUAUAAUAGACAUGCAUAAAAUUGUUGGAAGCUAAACUUCAAUCAAAAUCCCAAAAUUUAACAACACCUCAAAAUCCCCAAAUUUAGAGAGAGAAAGAGAGAGAGAACCUGAUCACCCAUUCAUAGCCAUGCCUUCAAUCAAAAUCCCAAAAUUCAACAUCUCAAAAUCCCCAAAUUUAGAGAGAGAACCAUGGUCACUCAUUCAUAGCCAUGGCUUCUUUCUUAGGAAGCUCUUCACCAUAAUGAAUUGCUUUCUCAAACCUUACAUAGCUUGGAUUCAGGUCCUCACUAUUUUUUAAUUUAGAUUUGUAAUAUG